UGACAGGUUGAGCGUUUUCAGCUUUGCAGCU
RNAcentral lists this non-coding RNA (31 nucleotides) under Rattus norvegicus (Norway rat). The record is from RNAcentral. Lineage: Eukaryota; Metazoa; Chordata; Mammalia; Rodentia; Muridae.